AUGAGCGUCACACGCCCGAACAGGGACUUGAACCCUGGACCCUCAGAUUAAAAGUCUGAUGCUCUACCGACUGAGCUAUCCGGGCUCCACAACAGUAGUUUACAAGUAGGCAAGGUUUGGGUUGUGGUCGGCGCAGACCUUUACAGUACACUAAAGUUUACCGUGAGAUGGGGUUUUAAGCUUAUGGUUGGUGUGGAUGUUGCUAAAACACGACAGGUUACUUUGAGGUUGGGUUUAUGGUUUUUGUAGGUGUAGACAUCAGUACAACACAAUAGUUUGGACUUCAUGUCAUGUAGGAGACAUUAAAUAGAUCAAUGAUGAGGACUUCCGAAUGUCUUUCUGCUGUUGUGGCAAUGAAUGGACACUCAACAAUUGAAAAGAUUCCUUCCAUGCCUUAGAAGCGUGACUUGAUCAGUACUUAUCUACACAGCAUGCUGGCAUCAAAGAUCCUAUUUCUCUUAUAUCAUAUCCCUAGUCUUCCACACUUUAGGAAACGUAAACAUUCAGGACGUGCCAUUAGCACAGCCUGCACUAAAAGAAGACUAGAGAUAACGGAUGGCAACACAGAGUGCGACACCAACGUCACCUUGAAAAACCUGCCGUGACCCGGGUUCGAACCGGGGUUGCUGCGGCCACAACGCAGAGUACUAACCACUAUACGAUCACGGCGAGCUACAGGAUUGCCGCUGUGGCUUUUGUGUGGUAUGUUCCUUCAUGUGAUAUGCCCCU
This is a non-coding RNA of Danio rerio (zebrafish), 729 nucleotides long. Lineage: Eukaryota; Metazoa; Chordata; Actinopteri; Cypriniformes; Danionidae. The record is from Ensembl.